UACGUAGGGCGCAAGCGUUUAUCCGGAAUUAUUGGGCGUAAAGAGCUCGUAGGCGGUUUGUCGCGUCUGCCGUGAAAGUCCGGGCUCAACUCCGGAUCUGCGGUGGGUACGGGCAGACUAGAGUGAUGUAGGGGAGACUGGAAUUCCUGGUGUAGCGGUGAAAUGCGCAGAUAUCAGGAGGAACACCGAUGGCGAAGGCAGGUCUCUGGGCAUUAACUGACGCUGAGGAGCGAAAGCAUGGGGAGCGAACAGG
This 253-nucleotide ribosomal RNA is filed under the name uncultured bacterium. RNAcentral's name for it is "partial 16S ribosomal RNA". It matches the Rfam family "Bacterial small subunit ribosomal RNA", at positions 524 to 776 of the family's 1533-position model. The record is from RNAcentral.